This 486-nucleotide ribosomal RNA is filed under the name uncultured bacterium. Its description in RNAcentral is "bacterial SSU rRNA". It matches the Rfam family "Bacterial small subunit ribosomal RNA", at positions 35 to 529 of the family's 1533-position model. The record is from RNAcentral.
GGUGAACGGCUGGCGGCGUGCCUAACACAUGGCAAGUCGAGCGGUGCAGUUUGAAGCUUCGGUGGAAAGCUGCAUAGCGGCGGACGGGUGAGGAAAACGUAGGAACGUGCCCCUUGGAGUUGGAUAGCCACGGGAAACUGUGGGUAAACCGACAUAGACUCGAGAGAGUAAAGGCCGAAAGGCGCCAAGGGAGCGGCCUGCGGCCCAUCAGGUAGUUGGUAGUGUAAAGGACUACCAAGCCGACGACGGGUAGCCGGUCUGAGAGGAAUGGCCGGCCACAAGGGCACUGAGAGACGGGCCCUACUCCUACGGGAGGCAGCAGUGGGGGAUUUUGGACAAUGGGCGAAAGCCUGAUCCAGCGACGCCGCGUGGAGGACGAAGCCCUUCGGGGUGUAAACUCCUUUUCUCAGGGAAAAAGGAUGAUGGUACCUGAGGAAUAAGCCCCGGCUAACUACGUGCCAGCAGACCGCGGUAAACAUACUCGUA